RNAcentral lists this long non-coding RNA (17195 nucleotides) under Gossypium barbadense (sea-island cotton). Its description in RNAcentral is "long non-coding RNA (GBAR_LNC019623)". The record is from RNAcentral. Lineage: Eukaryota; Viridiplantae; Streptophyta; Magnoliopsida; Malvales; Malvaceae.
AGAAACCCUGACACGGUUUACGGUCUUUUCCUCUGCCGUGGGGAUCUUUCUACCAGCGUUUGUCAAGCGUGUGUCACCUUCGCCUCUACUGACAUUUCCCGACGUUGUCCUGUUGAAAUAGCAGCGGUGGUUUGGUACGACGAGUGCCUCCUACGAUACUCGGACGAAAAUAUAUUUUCCGCCGUGGCUGAAGAACCUGCAAUUAUCUUGUUCAACACUCAGAACAUCAGUGACCAAGUCCGUUUCGACAGCCAAGUUCAAGAAGUGAUGAGUGGUACAGCAACCCAAGCCGCAAACGCAGCACCAGGUACUAAAAAAUUCGCGACUAGAGAGGCAGAUGCCAAUUUUACAUCGAGUUUUCGAACACUAUAUGCCCUUGCUCAGUGUACACCGGAUUUGCCAACCUCCGAUUGCGACAGAUGCCUGCGAUACGUAACUGGAAACCUUCCAAGAGGAAGCCAAAGAGGAAGAGUGUUGAGUCCUAGCUGCAACGUCAGAUAUGAAGUUUACUUGUUCUAUAAUCUAAAUCAAACAGCAGUUGCAUCUCCUCCACCUCCUCUAGUUCCAGGUUUAUCCUUACUAUUCAUUCAUAAUUUUGGGUUAGAUCAUUAAAAAGAUAAAGCUAGAGGAAAUAGAUUUUUAAUCUAAUAGUCUACCACCUAGACACCCUUUUUGACUCUAUUAACGGUAUAUAUCAUGGCUUCAGAAGGGAAUGGCCGAAGAUCAUGGUCAAUAAUUAUUGCCAUUGUUGCUCCAAUUGCUGCCUUCAUUUUGCUUUUCAUACUGACUUGUUGGCUGUUAAAGAGGGGAACAAGGAAGUACAAUGCUACCCACGGAGAAAACGGUAAAGGGAAUGAUUAAGCUUGUGCUUCUUUUGAGCCAUUUUAUUUCCUUGUCUUUCACAAAAAAAUUUGUCACCCCUUCGCCAUUUGAUUGUUUAGCAGGAUAUGACAUAACCACUAUAGAAUCAUUGAAGUAUGAUUUUACCACAAUUGAAGCUGCAACAGACAAGUUUUCAGAUGCCAACAAGCUAGGCAAAGGAGGUUUUGGUGAGGUUUACAAGGUACUUGGUCAUUUUGUUCAUACAGAGUCCAAUCAAUUUGAUAAAAAACUUGGUCUAAAUACGCAUUUUAAUGACUGGUUAUUAAUUUGUAUAUGCUUAGGGUAUCCUACCCAACAAACAAGAAAUAGCUGUUAAGAGGUUAUCAAGAGGUUCAGGACAAGGCACUGAGGAAUUUGAAAAUGAGGUCGUAUUGAUAGCCAAGCUUCAACACAGAAAUCUAGUCAGCGUAUUGGGCUUUUGCCUGGAAAGAGGUGAAAAGAUACUUGUCUACGAAUAUGUUCCCAACAAGAGCCUUGACUAUUUUAUUUUUGGUAUUUUUCACAUACUUUGCAAUGACCUUUUUGAGAAUUUGCAUUUGCUUUAAGGUUGGUUUUUAAACACAAUUUUUUGUUUUUGUUUAGAUCGUGCGGAGGAAGGACAAUUGGAUUGGUCGAGACGAUACAAGAUAAUUGGAAGAAUUGCUCGUGGAAUUCUUUAUUUGCACGAGGAUUCUAGACUUAGAAUCAUUCACCGUGAUCUCAAGGCCAGCAAUAUAUUAUUAGAUGGAGACAUGACCCCCCAAAUAUCGGAUUUUGGCAUGGCAAGAAUUUUUGGAAUUGAUCAAACUCAAGGAACCACUAGAAAGAUUGUUGGAACCUAGUAAGCCCUGACUUUGUUCAGCCUAAUUGUUGAAUGUUCUAAUACCUCCAUUACCUUGAAAUUGUUAUUCGUUCGACAGCGGCUAUAUGUCUCCAGAAUAUGCAAUGCAUGGGCAAUUUUCGAUGAAAUCGGAUGUGUAUAGCUUUGGUGUUUUAGUUCUAGAAAUCAUAAGUGGCCUAAGGAACAGAGAUUUCUAUGAAACAGAUGGUGCUGAGGACCUCAUUAGCUACGUGCGUAUAAUUCUUUUGGCCUUUUUUGUUCAAAUAUCCUUUAUAUAGAACUUAUUGAAUCUUUGAUGAACCAAUGCAGGCUUGGAAACUAUGGAAGGAUGAAAGACCCUUAGAAUUGUUGAACCCUGUUCUGAGGAAUGAUUACUCGAGAAAUGAAGUCACCAAAUGCAUCCAACUCGGAUUAUUAUGUGUUCAGGAAGAUCCAGCUGACCGGCCAACGAUGGCUACCAUUGUUCUAAAGCUUAAUAGGCACUCUGCCAAACUACCAAUGCCUAAACAACCAGCAUUUGUCUUUGAUAGUAGAACAGAUGGGAGGAUGCCAGACAAGGGGCUUGAAUCGGACCAAUCUACUACUCAAUCAAUGCCGUCGUCUAUCAAUGAGGUAUCUAUUACGGAAUUAUACCCUCGGUAAUGUGAGCUAAUGGAUGCAUCAUCAUCCUCAACCUCAAGGUAGAUAGCUAUCUACCGACGUUGAUCAACAAGUAAAAUUUUAAAUAAAGUGAUAAUUUAUUUAAAAUCAAUUUUAUAAAAUUAUAAUGUAAACAUGGAUGAUUAUUUCCUUAGCUAGAAUAAUAUAAUAUAAUAUAAUAUAAUAUAAUAUAAUAUAAUAUUAUUAGGAUAUGGUGUCGAUAAUGUAAAAAGGAGUGUCAUGACCCAACCUAGGUCACUGGCCUCAUUUGGAUUUUUAUGUAAUUCUUAUGUAUGUGAAAACGAAUCGUUUUCUAUUUUCUCUGCAAUUAAUCUUCUCAUUUAUUAGUCUUUAUGACCAAACUUAUUUCUAUGGAAAAAUGUAAUUUCAUAUAGAAAUCUUCUUUUGCAUUCAAAAACCGAAGAAUACACAUGUUCAUUUUUGUUUUCAUGACAAAGUGGAAAGUUUUGCUUAUCAAGAAAAAAAACAAUGAAGAAAUAUUCUUCUUUUUUUUUUUUUGUCAAAAUUACUGUCCAUAGUCGUGUUGCAAAGUUGUGGCUGACUAGUGUAGUUUCCUGGACCAUAAACUGCUUUAUCAUAUUUAUGAGAUUUCGAUCAAUUAAUAACAGAAGACGAUAUAGAAAAUUUAAAAAAAAAAAAACCAAGACCAUGACGUAAAACUCUCUGUUAUUACACGUAUGCACGAGAAAAACACACACUGAAAGUGCUUGCCUACUACAAACCAAAAACCCCUUCAAGUGGAACAAAUUAGAUUACUCAGUACUACUGCAAUCGGAUUACUCGAGUGUUUCGACCCACCGAGAUUCAUGGCCAACUGGCUCAUUGAGUAUUCGUUUUUGACCCUACUCUUUUAAGUUCUUAGCUUCCAAUUUGAUUGAGAUUUCUAGUCUUCCUUGUAGACUAAUACAAUCCAAAAAUUCGACUCAAAUUUUUCAGUAAAGGAUCAACGAAUUUUCUGUAAUGGCGAAAAGUAUUUCCCUUUAUACAACAACCCAUAUUAUAAUUUAUAAAUCUGGUAUCUCUUGUCUUAUAAUCCAAGCUAAAACAAGGUGAUGACUUUUAUAAACUUGUUGCUGUUAGGAAUAGUACUUUCCUUGCUUACCCCUGCAAUUGAAGCUCAGCAGCCUACUUAUCUGUACCACGAUUGUCCAAACACCACCACUUUCACCGUAAUCAGCACUUACCAAGCCAACCGCAAUACCGUCUUAUCAUCGCUGUCGUCUAAUAGCACCCGUGGUUAGGAGUGUUCAUUCGGUUAACCGACCCGAAAUUACUAUAACCGAAUUAACCGACCUUCCAAAAAUUUUAACCGUUAACCGAACCGAUUUUUUUAAAAAAAAUUAACCGAACCGAAAUUUUUUCGGUUAAUAAGGUCGGUUAACCGAAUUAACCGAAAAUUAUGUAUUUUUUAUUUUUGGUUAAAAAUUACCCGAAUUACCCGAAUUAACCGAAUUACCGAAAAAUACUCGAAUUACCCAAAAUUUUUUAUUUUUUAUUUUUAAAAUUUAAAAAAAUUAUAAAUUAUUAAAGUAAAUUGGGUUUUAGACUUUAGUAAAUUGGGUUGUCUUUUAGUUUUAGUUUUAUUGGAUUGGGUAAUUGAGUAAACUUUAGUUUUAGUUUUAUUGGGUUGGGUAAUUGGGUUGGGUAAUUGAGUUUGGGCUGGGUUGGAUAAUUUUAUUUAUUAAUUUUUUCGGUUAACCGAAAAAUUUCGGUUAACCGACCAAUUUUGAACCGAAUUAACCGUUAACCGAAAAAUCAUAAAAAAAUUAACCGACCCCCGACCGAAAAAAUUCGGUUAACCGACCGAUUAACCGAAUUCGGUCGGUUAACCGAAUUUUUUCGGUUUUACCCGAAUUAUGCACACCCCUACCCGUGGUGAUGGUUUCUACAACACAACCGCAGGCAGGAGCCCUGACAUGGUAUACGGUCUUUUCCAUUGCCGUGGGGAUCUUUCUACCAGCGACUGCCAAGCGUGUGUCACCUUUGCCACCACCGAUAUUUCCCAACGUUGUCCCAACCAAACAACGGCGGUGGCUUGGUACGACGAGUGCCUCCUACGGUACUCGAAUCGAAAUAUCUUCUCCGUUGUCGAAGACCGACCCGCAGUUAGAUUGAGUAACCAUCGGAAUGCAACUGGGACAGAAAUCCCUUUCGACCAGCUAGUGGCCACCACAGUUGUUAUGAACAUGAACGAUAUAACAACCCAAACGGAAAAUAAACCCGCAGGUUCUAAAAAAUUUGCGACAAGAGAGACCAAACUUUCAAGUUCUCGAACACUGUACACGCUCGCCCAGUGUACACCGGACUUAUCAGGCAGUGACUGCAGUAUAUGUCUGCAAGGAGCACUAGAACUUCUUCCAACUGGAUGGCUAGGCGGAAGAUUGUUGAGUCCUAGCUGCAACGUCAGAUAUGAAAUUUACCCCUUCUAUAAUCCAACGAUAGUUUCGCCUCAACCUCCUCCUGCAGCAGGUUUAUCCUCACUGUUAAUUGAUAAAUUUGAUCCUUUCCUUUUUCCUUUUUUAUAGUUCUCGACAAAAAGAAAACAAGAUUCACUACAUUCUCUUUUCUUUUUUCUGGUCGGUAAUUUGUAAAUUAAUAUAUAGGUAAAGAACAAUCCCCUGUUUUCAUAAGGAUUAUAAUGAACUGAAUUGAGGAUAUCUAAUUCUGCUCUUAUUUAAUCAGAAGAAGAGAAACAAAACAAAUCAAACCGGAUUCCAGUACUUGUUGCAAGUUUAUCAGCAAUUUUUGGGCUGGCUGUGGUUUUUAUCUAUGGUUUCUUCAUCCGGAGGAGGAGAAACAGUCGAGGUACAUAUCGGAGUGAUCUUUCUGGCAAGUAUUGUAACUUCUUUUUAUAUUCUUAUGCUGAUCAUAUUAUGAUUUUAUUACAGACGAAGAAAACAGCCAAGAAGUUCAAUUACUUGACUUGGUAAAUGAGCACUCAAGGGAAACUUUUAACGGAGAAAAUGGGGAGAGAUCUCAGGAGUUUCCUUCUAAACAGUUGGAUGUUUUACAUGCAGCGACAAAUCACUUUUCUGAUGAAAAUAAGCUGGGACAGGGUGGAUUUGGUCCUGUAUUCAAAGUAAUUAUAUAACUUGAAACUUUUAUCUGAGUUGGCUUUAGAACUGAUCUAUGCGAAUUAAGUAUGUGAAUACUCCUGCAUUUGAAUUUUGAUAUGCUAUGUAAAUGAAUGAAUUCUUCCAGGGAACAUUAGCAAAUGGUAAAGAAAUUGCAGUUAAAAGGCUGUCAGAAACUUCCAGUCAAGGGCUUGUUGAAGUCAAGAAUGAAAUCAUGUUAAUUGCUAAAUUACAACAUAGAAAUCUUGUGAGGCUCUUAGGAUGUUGCUUAGAGAAAAGUGAGAAGUUGCUUGUAUAUGAAUUCAUGCCCAACAAAAGCCUGGACGUUUUCCUAUUCGGUUUGAUUCUUGAACCUUUAACUAAUAAGAAAAAAAAACAUGAAACAAUUAAUGAAAAUGUGCUCAUUUGUUUUUUUUUUCCUUUUUUUCCACAUUUAUAUCAGAUUCGAAAUUAGCUGCUCAACUGGAUUGGCAGAAACGAUUCAAUAUUAUUAAAGGAAUUGCUCGAGGUAUUUUGUAUCUACACGAAGAUUCAAGUCUAAAAAUUAUACACAGGGAUCUUAAAGCAAGUAAUGUUCUACUCGAUCAUGAGAUGAAUCCGAAAAUUUUUAAUUUUGGUAUGGCAAGAAUUUUUGAAGAUCAAAACGAAGCAAAUACCAAUAGAGUCGUUGGAACAUAGUAAGUAUGCCUAUUUUCAUGACACAUUCCUUUACAGUGCGAGGCUUAUGGGAAUAUUGUUAUUUAAUUAUUUUCUUUCUUUAUAAAAUUUUUUAUGAUAUCAUCCAAUUUUAUUUUAAUAAAUUGUCUCUUUGUUUCUUAUGAAUUAAAAUAGUGGAUAUAUGGCACCAGAAUAUGCUAUGGAAGGACUCUUUUCUAUCAAAUAUGAUGUUUUCAGCUUUGGAGUCCUUUUAUUGGAGAUUAUUAGUGGAAAAAAGAACAAUGGUUUUCAUCAUUUAGAGCAUGGUGAAAGCUUGUUGACUUUUGUAUGUUCUUUACCCUCCCUUUUGUUCUCAAACUAUAGAUUAAAUGUUUUAACUAUUCUACUAAUAAUUUUAAGCUACAAUUGUAGGCAUGGAAAUUAUGGUCCAAGGGCGAAGGAAUGGAGCUAAUAGAUCAGGUCCUUGUUCCUUCAUGUGUGGCUUCUGAGGUGCUUAAAUGCAUUCAUAUUGGGCUAUUAUGUGUGCAAGAAGACCCGGCAGACAGACCAACCAUGUCAUCUGUGAUUUUCAUGUUGGCAAGUGAUAGUACCAUAACACUUCUUUGUCCAUCUGAACCAGCAUUUUUCGUUGGGCGUGCAAUUGCAAAGCCAACUGAACCUAUUUCAGAUGAUGGAGUCUUUUCGGUUAAUGAGGUCACAAUUUCAAAUUUCUCACCUCGCUAAUUUGAUUGUUGUACUAACAAUACUAGUUUAUCAAAAACCUUUCAUUUUUAUUUUCCAGUCUGAAUUAACAACUAUGAAUACUAAAGCCAUGAUUUUUAAGAACUUGAAGAUGAAACUAGAUAUACAUAUAUAUGAAUUUCAAAUUGAAUAUGAAGUUGGUGAUAAAUCAAUUUAAGAAAAUUAAUUUUUUACUCAAAUUUUUUAAUGUAUCGAAGCACCUAAGAAAGUUGAAAAUUAUAUGGAUUUAUACUUUCUAAAGCAUAUAUAAUUUAGCUACUCUUUGCGAUUUGCACAAGGAAACAAACAUAUAGCAGGGAAGAGUGUAAUUUUUAUACUCUUGUAAUGAUGAAGGAGUUGCAAUAAUUUAUUUCAUUAGUUUACACUUAAUCUGGAAUUCAACUCCAAUAAAAGGAUCCAAUUAACUUCCAAAGACUAGUCUUGCAUCUAGAAAUUAAGAGUUUGGAUACGUGUUACCUUGUGCAAAGUGUCGCUACUUUGUGCAAGUUUCUCAUAUGCUCAGUUUAGAUUAAUUUAAAUUAUAUGAAAAAUUAUAACUGUGUUUGACAAAAGUACAAAUUUAUAUGACUUAUGUUACCCCGACAACAAUAUAAUAUUUCAUUACUCGAACCUGACAUUGAAUCAAGAAAUAAAGGGUUACAUUUAGUAAUAUCAGUAACCAAGUCAAUGGAAUGCUUUCACUGUCCCUAACAUGGUCAUGUAGCCAACUGCCACAUUGAAUAUUAUUUUUUGUUCACUUCUGCCCCAUCCAUUCAUUGGGAGGCCCUAAACAAAAUACAGCAAGAAUAGUUCAACAUGCGUAAUUUAAUGUUUUUAGUCAUAUUGACAAAGAAUUGACUGACUUGUGUAGCUUCCUCGAACAUAAGCUGCUUUAUCAUCUUCAUCUUGGGAGAACGGGUCAACAAAAUACAGCCACCUUCGACAAUUGAACUUUUAAUUUGUAAGUGAAUUCCUUAAAGAAACAGGCAACGGAAAUUUCAAGAACAAUAUUGUUUCACUUCUUUUUUUCAGGUUUAACAUUUACAUACCUCGUUAUUCUCACCAUUUCCUUCGACCCUUAUUUCCAGCGUUAUUGGGCGAACAUCAUCGGCAACUACACCGCCAAUAGUGCCUACGAGCUUGACCUGGAUAGCAUCUUCAAGGAGAUCACCUCUAUAACAAAAUCCAAUUAUGGGUUUUACAGCAACAAGGUCGGCGAAGUCAACGCCAUGGCACUUUGCAGAGCAGAUGUUAAGCUAGAUGUUUGCUCUAGUUGUUUAUACGAAAAUAUCUAAUUAUUAUUAAAAAAAAAAGUUAACAAUUCAAGUCUAAUUAUUUUGAACUUGAAUUGACACAUGGAAUAGAUUUAAACUUAAAAUGACUCAAACAAAUCAUUUAAAAUUACUAAAGUCUAAAAAGAUCAAAACUCGAUCCAAAUUUAUAAUGACAAAUUUAGAAGGCUAAUACCUCAACCCUAAAUAAUUCAAAAUCCUAAUUAAUUCUAAUUGAAAUAAUCUAAAAUUUUUAAAAUUAGACUACGUGCAGGCUUGCUUAUUACAGUCAUUGAAUACAUGUCAUUUAUUGGUAACCAAGUCAAUGGAGUGCUUUCAUUGACCCGAACAUGGUCAUGUAACUAACUGCCACAUUGAAUAAUUAUUUAUCAUUUACUUCCGUUCCAUCGAUUCAUUGCGGACCCAGCUCUCCUUGUAGACCAAUUUACACAACAAAACUGCUUUAUCAUCUUCGUAUUGUUAGAACCAGUCAACAAAAUACAGCCACCUUCAACAAUUAAACGUUUAAUUUGUAAGUGAAUUCCCUAGAGAAAAUGGCAACGGAAAUUUCAAGAACAGUACUGUUUCACUUCUUGUUUUCAGGUUUAACAUUUACAUUCCUCGCUACUUUUGCCAUUUCCUUUGACCCUUAUUUCCUGCAUUCUUGUGCAAACAACAUCGGAAACUACACCGCCAAUAGUGCUUACGAGCGUGACCUCAAUACCAUCUUCAAACAGAUCACCUCUAUUACAAAAUCGAAUUAUGGAUUUUACAGCAAGAAAGUCGGCGAAGUCAGCGCCAUGGCACUUUGCAGAGCAGAUGUUAAGCUAGAUGUUUGCACUGGUUGUUUAAGUGAAACUAUAUCAAGGGUCAAGCUGGAUUGUCCUAACAACAAAGAAGCCAUCGGAUGGUCUGCGGAUUGCACGUUACGGUACUCGAACACAAACCUCUCCGAGAAGUUGGAAAUUAAUCCUCAAACCUGUCUAUAUAAUACAGGAUCUACGGUUGAUGAGUACUUCCAGCUCAGACUCGGAGAAUUGUUGAGUGACCUGCGUAAUAAAGCAGCAUCAGGGGGUGCUCUUCUUAAAUAUGCAGCAGGUAACUCGUCGCUCAGGGCUUCGGAAAGGUUAUACGCUCUAGUGCAGUGCACUCCUGAUUUGUCUGAGGGAGACUGCAAUCAUUGUCUUGAUAAGGCGGCAACCAACGGGAUUCUGCGGUGUUGCCUUAAGCAGAGGGGAUGCCGGGUUCUUAGUCCUAGCUGUAACUUGAGGUUCGAAACAUAUCCCUUUGUUGAAGCCGGAGUGGAGUUUCCACCACCCCCGUCACCCUCGGGCGAUCGGCAAAAAGAAGGUACGACAAUUUUCCUUCCACUGUCACUUCUUCCAACCACCUGUUAGCACAGCUUCACUUUGGAGGCACUAUAUUAGCCUAUCACUCUUGUUGAAUCGAGAAAAUCUGAUUCUGCCCUUAUAUAAUUAGAAGAGGAACCAAACAAAUCAAAAAGGACGCCAGUACUUGUUGCAAGUUUAUCAGUGAUAUUUGGGGUAGCUGUGGUUUCUAUCUCAGGUUUCUUAAUCUGGAAGAGGAGAAACAAUCAAGGUAUGCAGUGGCAAACAUUACAAAUUUGUUUUGUAUUGUUAUAUUGAUCACUUUCUUACUUUCUUCUUUUAUUAAUUUCAGAUACAGAGUACAGAGAAAUUCAAUUACUUGACUUGGUAGAGGGAAGAAUUGAUAUGUGAGAAUCAAGUUUGUAACGUUAGGUAUAAUUAAUAAAUGAAUUCUUUCGGGGAACACUAGCGGAUGGUAAACAACUGCAGUUAAAAGGCUAUCAAGAACCUCCGAUCAAAAGCUUGUUGAGUUCAAAAAUGAAAUCAUGUGCUUUUUUCCUUCUUUUUUUCCCUACUAAGCUACAAUUUUAGGUAUGGAAGCUCUUAUCUGAAUACAGCUAAUAGAUAAGUUCCUUACUCCGUCGAGUGUAAUUUUUGAGGUGCUUAAAUGCAUUUUGGGUUAUUGUACAUGCAAGAAAAUCUGCUACUCAGUCUAAUCAAAUCAUCUCUUAUUGUCAUGUUCGCAACCGAUACCGUAAAACUUUCUCGUGCAAUUAAACCAACAUCCUUUUUGGGCAUAUCAUUGCGGAAUCAAUCAAACACAUUUCAAAUGAUGAAUUUUUUUAUUAUUAUUAAAAAUUUUCACCUCGCUGAUUUGAUCACUAUUUUAAUUUUAAGAUUAUAUAUUUGAAUGUAAAAAUUAGUAUAAAGCCGAUAACUAAUCAAUUUAUGAAUAUUAUUUUUAAUGUGUGGAAGCACCUUAAUUAGUAAACAAAGUUCAAACUUGCAUCAAAUUAUACUCCCAAAAAUAUACAAAAUUUAGCUACCCUUUCUUCUUUCAAUCCGCUCUGCUGGACUUGUAUUAGGGAUGAGCAAAACUUGAUUUAAUUUGAAAAAAUAAAAAAAUUUCAAAUUUCGAAUUAAUCGAAUCGAGUUAUUCGAGUUAUUCAAUUUUUUUGAGUCAAGUUAAAUAAGUAGUUUGAGUUUCAAGUUCAAGUCGAGUUGAAUUUUAUAAUUCGAAUAACUAGAAUAAUUUAAUAACAUUUUGGUAUAACUGCUCCUUUAGUCCCCGUCAAGUUUAAAAAUGAGCAAAUCAGUCUCUCUCUUAACAAAAAUUACAAAAAUUUCAAAAUAAUUUUUAAAAUUCAAAACAUUUAUAAAAAUUUCAAACUUUAUAUUUUUUUAAAGAAUUGUAAAAAAAAUUUGUAAAAAAAUUCUAAAUAAUAUAUAAAGAAAGUUACAAUUUUGAAAUUUUCUAAAAUAAUAAUUUUAGGGACUUAAAUAAUUUAAUUAAUCAUUCAAGUUUAUCAUAGUAAAAUAUCUUUUCUUUUUUCUUUUUUUUCUUUAAAUUUUUUUAAAUAUAUACAGUUUCAAAUUUACGUGCUCAAACAUGAUAUUAGUUAUAUUGUAAUAAUAUUUUAAUUUGACAUGAUUAAUUUUUUAAUUUAGCUCGAACAAUUUCACUCGAUUUGACUCGACCUAAAUUUCAUUUCACGCGACUCGAUUUAAAAAAAUUCAAAUCAUAUUAAGAUGAUAAAAUAGGACUUCUCAACUUGAUUAACUCAAAAUUUUUUCACUUCAUUUGAUUGAACCUUCUUCCUUAUUUACGUCGCAAUUAGAAAACAUAUAGUAGCAAGGAAGAGUUCAAUUUUUAUACGAAAAAUAAAAUUUCAAAAAGUUACAUGUGCUUUUUUUAUAAAUAUACUCUAAAAAGGGUUAAUCUAAAUUAUAAAAUCUAAAAAUUUAUUUGAUAAUGGAUCCAAUAAUGAAUAAUUUCUCUACCACCGAAUUGAACAUUGCAUUUCAGUUUUAAAAUCUAUUCUAAUCAAAGAAACCAAAUUAACUUGACUUUGAAGAAAUCAAGCCAAGUCCUACACCAUAAAUAGGCAGUCUGAUAAUUGGGUAUAUAUGCACUAAAGAUAACCAAGAAAAAUGAGACACGUUCCUACCAUGUCCUUUCAAAAUGUCUUUAAAUUCUACCCGUAUAUUUUUCCACAACUUGCAUCGCCAUUUUAUGAGAGAUCCAUCAAUUACAGACAAAAACAUAAAGGAACCCAAAGGCCAAGUCUUAUAAACUUGUCGUUAUUAGCUGUACCAGAAAAAACAACCUUGUUUGUCUAAUACAAUUCCAACUUGCAUGUUUUGUAUCCUCAUAUUCUAAUUUCUGUAGAGGAUUUUUUAUGGAAAAAAGGAAUUUUAUAAGUGAAACGGAAUGCAACAAAAGACGAUGAAAAGGAAGAUUAGAAUAGAUAUUUCAUAACAUAGAUGAUAGCUUAUAAGGUGGAGAAAAAUUACUAAGUGUGGCUGUAGGUACAAGGGUAAUAAAGUUGCACAUUAAAUAGGAGUAAUAAGAGGCAUUUUUACUAAUAAAGAAUUUAGGUCUUGUAUAAUAGUGAAUAAUCCAUUUUAAAAAAAAAAUGGAAGAUGUAUUUAAUGUUACAAGAAAAGGUUAACAUGUAACAUUUAACUAUUGAUAGAAGUUCUUGUGCUUUAAGUUUCUUUGUUGAAGAUAUAUGGAUUGACUUAUUACACCAACCUAAGUUCUCCAAAAUUUCAAAAUGGUAAAGAUAAUCGAAGAAUCUUAUCAUAUUCUUGUCGAGUAAUAUUUUAUCAUGUCUUAUUGAUAAGAGUGUUCGAGUAUUUAUACAUGUUGUUACAAAAGCUAUUACAGCUCAUGAUAGGGCCCCACUAUUUUAACUUGACUCAACUGCCUCUAGUACUGAUACUUUCUAUCCCUAGUACUGACAUUCUUUGUAAGCUCCAGGUUUGUUGGGCACGUGUCUAUGGAGCACACGAUCCUUUCUGUUCCUGGGACUAACAUUCUAGGCGGGCUCCGUACCUACUGGACUCGUGCCUAGGUGGCCUACGGAGCACACGGCCCUUUCUGCGAGCUCCCUAAGUCCUCGCGAGUUGGAUCUGUGGCCUUGCGUUACAAGAUGGGUCCUUGGCUUUGCCUUGCGAGUUGAGUUCACGAGCUCGUUCUGCGAGCAGGGUGAGCUAACUCCCCUUGCUAUCCUCUCGUGGCUCGCUUCGCACCCAAUCUUUUGGUGGGACCUAUCCGGGUCACAGGUAGGUGACCCAGAUCCUAUCUAGGACUCAGGUUGAUGAUCACCAAUGUAUAACAAUUCUAAUGUUAUUUUCAUAACUAUUUUAAUUAAGUAGUAUAAUGUGAAACAUUUUUUGCAUAUCAUCUCUUAGAACAUGAGUUGUUUUUGUAAAAGAUUUGUUCUUAAAUAAGGUUGUUUUCAAAUAAGAAUUGUUCUAAUAUAUUCUGAUCAUGAAUUUUCUCAAUUAAUUAUUAUUGACAGGUUGUUCCUAACAAUAGGUGUUUUGAAUAUAAUUAUUCUUAAAUUUCAAUUAUUCUAAAUAAGAGUUGUUUUAAAUAUUAAUUAUUCUUAACAAGAGCUAUUCUCAAACAAUUACUAUUAUAGGCAUCAACAGUUGUGAACAUAAUAGUUAUUCUAGAGCAACGGUUGAUUUGAGUGGUGAUUAUUCUAAACAAAAGUUACUCUUCAGAUAAAAAUAUUUAAAAAGAAAACAAUAGAAGUGAUUAGAAUAUAUUUAUCUCGAAGUUGAAUUUAUGUGAAUCAAACCUACUCAAACCUUAAACAACUUAAACUCAAUAUGACUCCAAUGAGUAACUUAAAAAUACUAAAAUCUCAACGAAUAAACCUAAAAUGAUCCGAACCCAUAUUAAUGAAAUCCAAAAUUAAUCCUAAACAAAUAAUUUAAAAUUUUUAACUGGAAGCAACAGAACCUGACAGAUCUACCUCAAAGUAAAACUCAUUUCAAAGUGAGACAAAUUAGAUUAUUACUUGCAGUCUUGCAUACUACAGUCCUUAUAUAUAUAUGUCAGAUGUUUUAGGUAAUCUGUGACAAUGGAGUUCUUUCACUGUCUUGGACGUAGAUGUAGCCAACUGCCACAUUGAAUAGUAUUUCACUUCCAUCCUCAUCUGGACCCAAACUCGUCAUCUUUGUAGACUAAGGCUUAGUUUGGAUAGGCGGUGUGUUUACCUCCAGUGAGGUUAAAAACAGCGGUGGCGGUGAGAUUAGUUACUGUAGCAGUGAGAUUGGAUAUUGUAGCGGUGAGAUUAAAAACAAUGGUGGAGUGUGUGUUUGGAUUCAAACGCAGCUAUAGCGGUGAGAUAAGAAUAAAAAAUGACUAUUAAUGACAUCAGAUUAGAAUUGAUAUAUAAUAGAAGUUUUUAAAUUAUUUUACUUUUUUAAAAUUAUUAAAAUAUGUGAAUUUAUAAAUUAAAUUAAUAAAAUAUUAAAAUGUAUCUUCCAAUAUUUUAAUGAAUUAUAUAAUUAAUUUAAAUUAUUUAUUAGACAAAAUGAUAAUUAUUUUUAAUUUUUUAAAGUUAAAUAUUUUUUAUAACAAUGAUAAAUAUUAUUUUCAUAAAUAGUAACAUUAUACUUAGAUCAAAUUUUGAAGUAUCUAAAUAGAUGAUUUUUAAUUAAAAAAAUAUAAUAACAUAAGACAUAACAAGUUUCAUUAUUACUAGAAAUUUUUAAUUAUAAAUAAUUUAAAAUAAUAAAUAAUUUUUAAUUUUUAAUUAUAAAAAAUACUUAUUAAAUUUAAUAUGAAGAUUGUAUAUAUUAAAUUAAUAAUAUUAUUUGAAAUUCUUAAAUAGAAAAUUAGAUGUAAAAGGAUAAAAGAAAAAGUAAAAAGCAUGGAUGAAAAGGUACUUUCCAUCUUUCAAAUGGAGUUGCAAAUUCUCACUGCAUGUAGAACCUCCAGUGGCGCCACUGAUACUACAGCAUGAUGAGAAGACUCCAGUGCGGCAAUGGGUAAAAUCCAAACACCAAUAUCAGUGCGAUUGAUUUCAAAAAAAUGGUCUAAACGCACUGAAACGGGAGAUUUUUUGUAUCCAAAGAUAGCCUAAGGCUCCCUUUGGUUUGGCUUUUACAGCCAAUGAGGUGCAGUUGGGGAGAAAAAAUGGUGCCAAUCUCACUGCUAUGCUGUUUGGUUCAGCAAGUCAGUGCAGUGAGAUUGCAUCUCCACCACACUGCUCAGCUGAAAAUCAGCUGGUGAUUUCAGCAGCAAUGAAGGUGCAGUGAGCUAUUGGUACUUUAACUCUCCAAAAAUACCCUUACUUUAACUCUCCAUAUCUUCCCUCCUCCUACCAUGCUUCUCCUUCUUCAAUUUGUGCAACCAGUUCACUUCACAAAGCUACAGGUAAGUCAUUCAUCUGCUGCUGCAACUUCUGCUGCUGCAACUUCUGCCAUUUUCAACCAUGUUUGGUUGUGGUUGUGGUAGUGGACUUUUGUGGACUUUUCAACCAUUUUCAACUUCUGCCACUACCAAUCUUCUGCAACUUAUGCCAUUUCUCUGUAACAAAGGUGCACCGGAAACUUGAAGAAGAUGAUAGAUGGAUAGAACAAGAGAUAUAUAAUCGAUAUAAUAGAUGGACAGAACAAGAUGAUAGAUGGACAGUGUUAGAAUUGUGUGACCCAAAUUCUAAGAGAUUGCUUGCAAGUCAAGUUAAACAAAAAUAUAUUUUCUUUCUAGAAGAUUUAGUAUUUAUUAGUAUAAUAUAUUUAGCAUUUAUUAGUAUAGUUUAUUUGACUUACUAAUUUAGCCUAUAAAUAGGCUCUUUUACAAUCUUAGAAAUGAGACACACCCAUUAGAUUAGAACUCAUAACACAUUCAGAGAAUUUUGUGUUUACGUUUUCGGGUUCUUUGUUUUUCGGAUUUUCGAGUUUAGUUUUUAUCUCCAUCUUUUGUACUCUUCAUUCUUUUGCCAUUAUAGUAAAAUUAUCUUUGCCCGUGGUUUUUUAUCCUCUUUGGAGGGGUUUUUCCACGUUAAAUUUGUGUGUUCAUCUUCUCAAUUUCUUCUGUUAUUUGUACUUGUUUGUUGCUUAAUCGGGACGAUCCUAACAGACAGAAACCUGAAGAAGAUGAUAGAUGAAGAUGAUAGAGGUGUUAACUUUGCAAUACAACUACAACAUUUCUAUGAUGGGUUGGAUGGACAGAACAAGCGACAAUUUGAUUUUAUAGCUAGAGGGAGUAUUUGGUUAAAAAUAGGAAGAUAAAUAAUCGAUAUAUUGGAAAAUGUCAGCAAGAAUGAGCUUACAUGGGGCAUAAACCAAGAGAUAUAAAACGCUAACCUAGCAGAAUGUACACUCCAAAAGUAAACAUCUUAUAACCUGGAAUUAGGAACAUUAGAUUUUGUUGAGCCUAAUAAAGAUGAACCAGAGGAGGAAAGUAUGAAUAAUGCAGAACAAGAGAAAAACGAGCUAGCCUUUCAACUUGACUGGUGGUGUAAAAGUAAAGAAUAUCCAAAACAGGUAAUUCCAACCAUAACUAAAAUGGUUCCUUUUAUUAUUAAAACACCUAAAUUGGAAUUGAAACCACUGCUUGAACACUUGAAGUAUGAGAUGUUUGGGAGAAAAGAACACCUUGCCAGUAAUUACAUACAAGGAGUAUGUAAAAAUAACUUUUUCAAAAAAUAUUAAUAAAUAAUUUAAAUUAAUUAUAUAAUUUAUUAAAAUAUUAGAAGAUAUAUUUCAAUAUUUUAUUAAAUGAAUUUAUAAAUUCACAUAUUUUAAUAAUUAAAAAAAAGUAAAAUAAUUUUAAAAACUUCUAUUAUAUAUCAAUUCUAAUAUGAUGUCUUUAAUAGCAAUUUCUUAUCCUCAACUCACCGCUACAGUGCGUUUGAAUCUAAACACACACUCUACCAUUGUUUCUAAUUUCAUCGCUACAGCAUCCAAUCUCACCGCUACAGUAAUUAAUCUCACUGCCACCGCUGUUUUUAACCUCACCGGAGCUAAACACACCGCCCAUCCAAACUAAGCCUAAAUCAUAUACGCAAACAAUCCAAAAAUCUAUUGACUUGACUCAUAUUUUUUAUUAAGGAUCAGAUAAUCUUCUACGAUGGACCAAAACUUUAUCCCUUACUAAAAGCACCCAUAUCAUAAAUUUCAUAAUAUAGCUGAGCUCUCUCGUCUUAUGAUCCAAACAAGGAGGUAAAGCCAAAAAAAAAAAGAAAUGCAGAGCUCCACAGUUUUCAUAACCCUGUGGCUGUUAUUAAUAGUCUUUUCCGUGCUUAGCCCUGAAACUGAAGCUCAGCCGCCCACUUAUCGCUACCACGUUUGUCCUAACACCACCACUUUCCUCAUAAAUAGCACUUACCAAGCCAACCGUGAUACCCUCUUAACUUCUCUAUCGUCUAAUGGCAGCCGUGGUAAUGGUUUCUACAACACAACUUCAGGCAGAAACCCCGACACGGUUUACGGUCUUUUCCUCUGCCGUGGGGAUCUUUCUACCAGCGUUUGUCAAGCGUGUGUCACCUUCGCCUCUACAGACAUUUCCCGACGUUGUCCUGUUGAAAUAGCAGCGGUGGUUUGGUACGACGAGUGCCUCCUACGAUACUCGGACGAAAAUAUAUUUUCCGCCGUGGCUGAAGAACCUGCAAUUGUAUUGUUUAAUACUAAGAAUGCAACUGGGACAGAAAUCCCUUUCGACCAGCUAGUGGCUGCCACAGUUGUUAUGAACAUGAACGAUAUAACAACCCAAACGGAAAAUAAACCCGCAGGUUCUAAAAAAUUUGCGACAAGAGAG